GCCGGAGUGGUGGAAUGGCAGACGCGGUGGACUCAAAAUCCACUGGGCUUCGGCCCGUGCGGGUUCGAAUCCCGCCUCCGGCACCA
This 86-nucleotide transfer RNA is filed under the name bacterium. Its description in RNAcentral is "tRNA-Leu". It matches the Rfam family "tRNA". Rfam says of the family: Transfer RNA (tRNA) molecules are approximately 80 nucleotides in length. The record is from RNAcentral. RNAcentral also lists the same sequence under 5 other names.